GCUCAAUUGAACAAUACAAGUAAAGAUGCAGAGAAAGUAUUCCUAGAAAUAUCCAAGCUCCUCCUCUACAUAAGGAAAUAAUGAGUACAUAUAUCAUCAAAAUCAUAAACAACUAACAAGAAUGUAUGCCAACAAGAAUGUAUAAACAGCUAACAACGACAAACAAGAAUGUAUAACUGAUAUCUAUUGUGUCCAAGUCAUAUAUAAAAGAAUUAGCAAUUUCAUCACAUAUGCCGAGCAUAAAAGCCCAACUAUUUGGUCUCUUCCUAAAUGUUGCAAUGGUAAAAACUUUUACAGUCAGAAAUUUUGGUUUAAUUUCAUCAACAAUCCCUCAACUUUGAGGGUUAUAAUGGUGCAGUCCAUCUUCAAUUUGUAUCAUAAAACUCUCCUACAUCAAUUUGAUUAGCACCGAAAUCACUAUUACUGUUUUCCAUCAAGGGUUCUGGACAGAGGUUGGCUUGGCGAUGCCAGCAUGGAUUUUAAAUAAUAUAAUAAAAUAAAUUCUCUCUCCUACAUGUUGGCACACAUUCUCUCCCCUCGCGUGCUCUCCAG
Molecule: unclassified non-coding RNA, 552 nt
Filed under: Hevea brasiliensis (rubber tree)
Lineage: Eukaryota; Viridiplantae; Streptophyta; Magnoliopsida; Malpighiales; Euphorbiaceae
Source: RNAcentral